CGAGAAUGAAAAUCGCUUUACGGAAGAGUGUGCAGAUAUGAACACGAGCGCAGCAUUGUCGACAGUUUUGUCGUUGCUUGUUUUACUACCGUCAUCGUCUGCACAAAUUAAUAAUUAUUUAUGGUUCAAUAAUGGACAAAUCAAUAUUGGCCAAUUUGGAGCAGGCAGUAAUCCGGCAUUUACGAUCCCAUCAUCUUUGAAUUUGAAAUCCGAGAACAUGGAACCUAUGAUUCCGGCAUCUACAAUUGUGAAUAAGCCUUCAGUGGACAAUACAAAUUGGAUUAUCAAACUGGGAAAAAACAUUAAUUGUCUUAAUGGAGACUCUAAGGAGAAUUAUCCUAAUUGGUGCUUUCUUAACAGGGAUAACCCUAACGGAUACUUUCCUAGCAAUGGAUACUCUAGUAGCAAUUACCCUGACGGGGCCAGUGCUAUUGAAAAGCCUCUUAACAUAUUCAACAUCUAUUUCAACAUAAUGUCCCCAAAUGGAGGCUAUCCUGAUGAGAAUUAUCCUAACAAGGCUAAUGAUAAUGAGAAGCAUCUUAACGGACAAAAUCUCACCAUUGCCACUCUUAACGUAGUCCCUCACAAGGAAGCCUCUUCUAACAAAGGUUAUCCUAACGGGACUAAUAAUAAUGGAGGGUACCUUAACGGACAAAAUCUCAACACUGUCUCCCUUAAUGUAGUCCCCCAGAAUGGAAGCAAUCCUAACGGAUUUAAUAAUAACAGCGAGAAUCUUAACAAACGAAAUCUCAAUAUCAUCUUUCCUAACGUGGUCUCCCAUAAUGGAAGCAAUUCUAUGGAAUGGAAUUCUAACGGAAGUUAUUCCAGCGAUGUACAUCCCAUCGAGAUCUCUCCUAAUAGAAGCAGUCCCCAUCCUGAAAUAUCGAGUUUGAAUAAUUUAAAUAACGGGAUUGGACAAAAUUUAUCAAUAGAUGCUAGCGACGUAAAUGAUGGUAUACCAGGAAUAAACAAAACGCAGCAGGAUCGUGGACAGUGCAGAGACGAUGAGUUCCGCUGUGGAAGUAACGAGUGCGUACCGUCUAAUGUCAAAUGCGAUAAUAAAGCUGAUUGUAGCGACUCCAGCGAUGAGGCAUUCUGUAUUACGGAAGGAGAUCAAGAAAAUGGUUGCGCAUUACCUGAGCAGCCGACAGGUGGACGUUAUAAAUUGGGAGAAUGCGACGAGCUAUGCCGCAAACAGCCUGGCGAUAUAGUUCCGCAACACAGUAUUCUCACUUAUACUUGUAAUGACGAUUACGCGUUGGAGAGUAGCAAUAUUACUAUUUGUGUCAACAACAUAUGGAAACAUCAGAUCUCCUGUCUCAAAAUUUGCCCGCCGUUGAACAGUACCAACGUCUACAUUUCCUGCAAUUAUCGAGGGGAAGAGGUGUCUUGUAGUGAACCUAUACUGCCUGGGACACAAGCCACGUUGACCUGUAAACCAUUUUAUAGAUUUUCUGUAACCACUCUGAGUAACUCGUGGAUGAAGUGUCUCGACAGUGGAAUAUGGGAUAUCAACAUGUUUGACUGUGUACCAGUGUGUGGCGUAAUCAUCUCGCAAACCACACUACAACCAUUGUCAAUUGGCAACGGCUUUAGGCCCGCAGUGGGCUCGUUUCCCUGGCACGUUGGUAUCUACGUAAAAGAUGGCGCCAAGACGUACAAGAAUAUUUGCGGUGGCAGUCUGAUAACUAAGAAUCUCGUCAUCUCAGCUGCACAUUGUUUCUACGAUGAGAUUGAAAAUAAACUUUACAACGCGUCGAAUUACGCUGUGGCUGCCGGUAAAUACUAUCGUUCUUGGGAUGCCCCGGAGCGGUACAGCCAGAAGUCGAUGGUGGAGUAUGUAAAAUUGCCCUCCGACUACUUUGGAACAAGUGGUAACCUUGCCGAGGAUAUAGCUUUGGUGAAACUACAAACGUCUUUCGUUUUUAACAUGUAUGUGGUACCCAUCUGUGUGGAUUGGCGAAACAAACAUGACCAUCAGCAGUUGCGAGAGGGACAAUCAGCUGGCCGGCUGGGGUAAAGAUACUACUGGUAAGCCCACAGAGGAUUUAUUCGCAGUUAAUAUGCCGUACGUGGAGCGACAGACAUGUCGGGAUAACGUGCCUGUAGAAUUUCGCGGAUUCCUCACGUUUGAUAAGUUCUGCGCCGGCCUUAUGAAUGGUUCAAGCGCUUGCGAUGGAGACAGCGGCGGCGGCUUAUGUUUUGAGAGAUAUGGUACUUGGUAUCUUCGUGGUGUCGUCAGCGUGUCUCCCCAGGAGGAUAACCAUUGCGAUUUAUACUCUUAUGUUGCAUUUACUCGGGUAAAUGCCUAUGUUGAAUGGCUUAUUACGUCAAUCC
This 2337-nucleotide unclassified non-coding RNA is filed under the name Harpegnathos saltator (Jerdon's jumping ant). Its description in RNAcentral is "modular serine protease, transcript variant X6". Lineage: Eukaryota; Metazoa; Arthropoda; Insecta; Hymenoptera; Formicidae. The record is from RNAcentral.